Molecule: long non-coding RNA, 316 nt
Filed under: Elaeis guineensis (African oil palm)
Lineage: Eukaryota; Viridiplantae; Streptophyta; Magnoliopsida; Arecales; Arecaceae
Description: long non-coding RNA (EGUI_LNC023793)
Source: RNAcentral
UGGAGGUAGGUUUGAGGUUGAUCCACGUAUUUAUAUUGUGUUUCUUGUUUUGUUUCUUCUUUCUUCCUGCUACACUGCAUGGUAUCAGAUUCUGGUGGCACUAUAAUUGGUAUCAGAGCAAGGUGGUACCAGAGUGUAGGUUGCAACGGUGGUGAAUGAGAUAGAAGAUAGAGAAGACAAGCACAAUUAAGGUGGAGAUCAGCAGGUUUGAUGGAAAAAGUAAUUUCUCUUUGUGGCAGGCAAAGGUAAAAAAGGUGCUCAUCCAACAAGAAUUGAUCGAUGCUCUCUUACGCGAUGAAAAAUCAACCAUCAUGGA